UUCAUGCUUUUAUAGUAUGAAAAUUGGUGAUUUAUAAUAACUUACCAAAUCGCAAAGUGAAAACAGGCGAUAAAUCAUUCAAGUUUCUGACCUAUCAGCUUUCGACGGUAUGGUAUUGGCUUACCGUGGCAGUGACGGUUAACGGGGGAUUAGGGUUCGAUUCCGGAGAGGGAGCCUGAGAAACGGCUACCACAUCUAAGGAAGGCAGCAGGCGCGCAAAUUACCCAAUUCUAACAGUUUGAGAGAGGUAGUAACAAGAAAUAACAAUACAAGGCAGUUAAAAUGCUUUGUAAUUGGAAUGAUAGAAAUUUAAACCCUUUUUAAAGUAUCAAUUGGAGGGCAAGUCUGGUGCCAGCAGCCGCGGUAAUUCCAGCUCCAAUAGCGUAUAUUAAAAUUGUUGCAGUUAAAAAGCUCGUAGUUGAAGUUCUGCUGAAAGUAACCGGUCUGCUUUUAAUAAAAGUGGUAUCUUGGUAUGUAUUUAGCAAUGAUGUCCUUUGAAGUGUUUUUUACUUUAUUGUAAUAAAGCAUAUUCAGGACUUUUACUUUGAGAAAAUUAGAGUGUUUCUAGCAGGCUAACGCUUUGAAUACUGCAGCAUGGAAAUAAUAA
This 607-nucleotide ribosomal RNA is filed under the name Hepatozoon canis. RNAcentral's name for it is "SSU rRNA". It matches the Rfam family "Eukaryotic small subunit ribosomal RNA", at positions 224 to 821 of the family's 1831-position model. Lineage: Eukaryota; Apicomplexa; Hepatozoidae. The record is from RNAcentral.